RNAcentral lists this ribosomal RNA (497 nucleotides) under uncultured bacterium. RNAcentral describes it as "partial 16S ribosomal RNA". It matches the Rfam family "Bacterial small subunit ribosomal RNA", at positions 28 to 507 of the family's 1533-position model. The record is from RNAcentral.
GAUGAACGCUGGCGGCGUGCCUAAUACAUGCCAGUCGAGCGAACGGACGAGAAGCUUGCUUCUCUGAUGUUAGCGGCGGACGGGUGAGUAACACGUGGAUAACCUACCUAUAAGACUGGGAUAACUUCGGGAGACCGGAGCUAAUACCGGAUAAUAUUUUGAACCGCAUGGUUCAAAAGUGAAAGACGGUCUUGCUGUCACUUAUAGAUGGAUCCGCGCUGCAUUAGCUAGUUGGUAAGGUAACGGCUUACCAAGGCAACGAUGCAUAGCCGACCCGAGAGGGUGAUCGGCCACACUGGAACUGAGACACGGUCCAGACUCCUACGGGAGGCAGCAGUAGGGAAUCUUCCGCAAUGGGCGAAAGCCUGACGGAGCAACGCCGCGUGAGUGAUGAAGGUCUUCGGAUCGUAAAACUCUGUUAUUAGGGAAGAACAUAUGUGUAAGUAACUGUGCACAUCUUGACGGUACCUAAUCAGAAAGCCACGGCUAACUACGUG